AGACCUACGGGGGGCAGCAGUGGGGAGUAUUGCACAAUGGGGGAAACCCUGAUGCAGCGACGCCGCGUGAGCGAAGAAGUAUUUCGGUAUGUAAAGCUCUAUCAGCAGGGAAGAAAAAUGACGGUACCUGAGUAAGAAGCACCGGCUAAAUACGUGCCAGCAGCCGCGGUAAUACGUAUGGUGCAAGCGUUAUCCGGAUUUACUGGGUGUAAAGGGGGCGCAGACGGCCAUGGCAAGCCCGGUGUGAAAGGUGCGGGCACAACCCGCAGACUGCACUGGUAACUGCCUGGCUGGGGUGCCGGCGG
Molecule: ribosomal RNA, 305 nt
Filed under: uncultured bacterium
Lineage: Bacteria
Description: bacterial SSU rRNA
Rfam family: Bacterial small subunit ribosomal RNA
Source: RNAcentral